GACGAACGCUGGCGGCGUGCCUAAUACAUGCCAGUCGAGCGAGCGGAACUAACAGAUUUACUUCGGUAAUGACGUUAGGAAAGCGAGCGGCGGAUGGGUGAGUAACACGUGGGGAACCUGCCCCAUAGUCUGGGAUACCACUUGGAAACAGGUGCUAAUACCGGAUAAGAAAGCAGAUCGCAUGAUCAGCUUUUAAAAGGCGGCGUAAGCUGUCGCUAUGGGAUGGCCCCGCGGUGCAUUAGCUAGUUGGUAAGGUAAAGGCUUACCAAGGCGAUGAUGCAUAGCCGAGUUGAGGGAGUGAUCGGCCACAUUGGGACUGAGACACGGCACAAACUCCUACGGGAGGCAGCAGUAGGGAAUCUUCCACAAUGGACGCAAGUCUGAUGGAGCAACGCCGCGUGAGUGAAGAAGGUUUUCGGAUCGUAAAGCUCUGUUGUUGGUGAAGAAGGAUAGAGGUAGUAACUGGCCUUUAUUUGACGGUAAUCAACCAGAAAGUCACGGCUAACUACGUG
This 512-nucleotide ribosomal RNA is filed under the name uncultured bacterium. RNAcentral's name for it is "partial 16S ribosomal RNA". It matches the Rfam family "Bacterial small subunit ribosomal RNA", at positions 28 to 507 of the family's 1533-position model. The record is from RNAcentral.